UACGUAGGGUGCGAGCGUUAAUCGGAAUUACUGGGCGUAAAGUGUGCGCAGGUGGCCGCGCAAGUCGAGUGUGAAAUCCCCGAGCUUAACUUGGGAAUUGCGCUCGAAACUACGUGGCUCGAGUGUGGCAGAGGAAGGUGGAAUUCCACGUGUAGCGGUGAGAUGCGUAGAGAUGUGGAGGAACACCGAUGGCGAAGGCAGCCUUCUGGGCCAACACUGACGCUCAUGCACGAAAGCGUGGGGAGCAAACAGG
Molecule: ribosomal RNA, 253 nt
Filed under: uncultured bacterium
Lineage: Bacteria
Description: partial 16S ribosomal RNA
Rfam family: Bacterial small subunit ribosomal RNA
Source: RNAcentral